CUGCCAGAAUUCAUAUGCUUGUCCCGAAGAAUCAAGCCAUGCAUGCCCAUGAGAAAUGAACGGCCAAACUGUGGUCCAGGAGAGCUUACCCGCUCCCGGGCCCGACCUGGUUGUAAGGAUUCAGCGAACGGCUCCGCAUAUCUGUUGUCACCUAUCGUGGUAAAUUGGCGUGGAUAGAGCACGGAAAAGCUGUGUAUAACACAGACAAGAUGGGGCAAACGCAGAGCAGAUGGCCCUUUGCUCAGCGGAUAAAUGGGCCGUAAGUACGUCGGCCCUGCCUCUUAAAGAGCUCCUAUAUAGCGUACCGCCGAAAAACCGUGCGGGGAAGCUUUAAUGCGGAGGCCUCUGCCUGGGGAGGUCGCUGUCCAAAUCCCGGAACUUCACAGUAGACACCCAACUAUGUAGAGACUAACCACUAGCGCACGAUGGACUUCAGACCUAUCAGCUAGAUGGUAGGGUAUUGGCCUACCAUGGCCAUGACGGGUACAGAGGAUUAGGGUUUGAUCCUGGAGAGGUAGCCUGAGAAAUCGCUCCCACUUCUAAGGAAGGCAGCAGGCGCGUAACGUUCCCAAUGCUAAGUACAGUGAGGACGUAAUGGGACAUAACAAUGCCUCUUUAAUAGUGGGCAAUGACAAUGGGCGGCU
RNAcentral lists this ribosomal RNA (644 nucleotides) under Reticularia jurana. RNAcentral's name for it is "partial small subunit ribosomal RNA". It matches the Rfam family "Eukaryotic small subunit ribosomal RNA", at positions 14 to 523 of the family's 1831-position model. Lineage: Eukaryota; Evosea; Eumycetozoa; Liceales; Reticulariaceae. RNAcentral also lists the same sequence under 1 other name. The record is from RNAcentral.